Molecule: ribosomal RNA, 253 nt
Filed under: uncultured bacterium
Lineage: Bacteria
Description: partial 16S ribosomal RNA
Rfam family: Bacterial small subunit ribosomal RNA
Source: RNAcentral
UACGUAGGGAGCGAGCGUUGUCCGGAAUCAUUGGGCGUAAAGCGCGUGUAGGCGGCCUGCAUAGUCUGGUGUGAAAUCUUUCGGCUCAACCGGAAGCGGUCACUGGAUACUGGCAGGCUUGAGUCCGGAAGAGGAGAGUGGAAUUCCUGGUGUAGCGGUGGAAUGCGCAGAUAUCAGGAGGAACACCUAUGGCGAAGGCAGCUCUCUGGUACGUGACUGACGCUGAGACGCGAAAGCGUGGGGAGCGAACAGG